GACAGAGGUGCCGAGCGUUAGGCGGAAUCACUGGGCUUAAAGCGUGUGUAGGCGGACUUCUAAGUACCUUGUGAAAUCCCCGGGCUCAACCUGGGAACUGCAUUUGUGACUGCAUCGCUGGAGUACGGCAGAGGGGGAUGGAAUUCCGCGUGUAGCAGUGAAAUGCGUAGAUAUGCGGAGGAACACCGAUGGCGAAGGCAAUCCCCUGGGCCUGUACUGACGCUCAUGCACGAAAGCGUGGGGAGCAAACGGG
This 253-nucleotide ribosomal RNA is filed under the name uncultured bacterium. RNAcentral's name for it is "partial 16S ribosomal RNA". It matches the Rfam family "Bacterial small subunit ribosomal RNA", at positions 524 to 776 of the family's 1533-position model. The record is from RNAcentral.